ACAAGGUUUCUGUAUGUGAACCUGUGAAAGGAUCAUAGCCGAGACCCA
Molecule: ribosomal RNA, 48 nt
Filed under: Sabal miamiensis
Lineage: Eukaryota; Viridiplantae; Streptophyta; Magnoliopsida; Arecales; Arecaceae
Description: partial 18S ribosomal RNA
Source: RNAcentral